This 60-nucleotide ribosomal RNA is filed under the name Hydnophlebia meloi. RNAcentral's name for it is "partial 28S ribosomal RNA". Lineage: Eukaryota; Fungi; Basidiomycota; Agaricomycetes; Polyporales; Meruliaceae. The record is from RNAcentral.
CUGACCUCCAAUCAGGUAGGACUACCCGCUGAACUUAAGCAUAUCAAUAAGCAGGAGGAA